GGAAAGCGUCCCACGGUGGGGGCGCGCCGGUCUCCCGGAGCGGGACCGGGUCGGAGGAUGGACGAGAAUCACGAGCGAUGUGGCCCUGGCGUUGAGUUUGUGGCUGUGGUCGCUUCGGGGCCCCGGUGGCGGGACCAGGGGCUCGUGAGGCAGGUCUUGAAAUACUAGGCUUUAGAAUUUCACCAUAUGAAUUUUGGGAGAGAGGAGCACAGUUCAGCCCAUAACUAACACACGACGGAAUGAAGUUGAUAAUAGUGAGACCUUGUUGGUACAAGACUAUGUAACAUAACCUGCGCUUCUCAACAAAGAAUUGCUUUUCUGACUUCUGCACUCAAUAGCAAGACAAAUCUCUCCUCUGCCUUCUCCUUAUCAGACUACUCAACAUGAAGGCAAUAAGAAUGAAGACCUCUAUGUAUAAUAAUUGACUUCCACUUAAUAAAUACCUGAACAGAUGUUGAGUACAAGCUGAUCCACCUACGUUCAACCUGAGAGAGUCCACAUCCACAGACUGUUUCAUUUCCCUUUUUCAAUUUACAUAGAAGCAUAGAUUCUUGCUGGCAUAUACAAAUGCGCCAUUUAAGGCAAUCAAAAAUGGUUCCACAUCUCAUCUGAUUUCCACAAUUGUUGCUGUAACGAUGGACUACUGAGGAGAGAGACAAUUUCUCUGGCACAUCUUCCCACAUUUUAGCAACAUGUUCAUGGAGAGCCAAUAUUCAGUAAUUACAGCCCAAUUCCUCACAAUUUCACAAUUCGCUAACAAUAUGCAUUUUCACAAUGUAAAGCUGAUUUUCCUUUAACCAAAUCAAACAUGAAAAGAUAGCUGCAUGCAAUGGGCAAUCUAGAUCAUUAGAAGAUUGAUGUAAAAUUAGAGGACACUGAGACUGGAAUAGAUUGCAAACUUCAGGGAGCUCAGAAAACUUGUAAACUCUACAUUUUGAGGAAAUAUGUUGUCGAUGCUUUUGCAACUCUAUGCAGUAACUUAACAAAUAAAGCCUUAAAGUAAC
Molecule: long non-coding RNA, 1004 nt
Organism: Homo sapiens (human)
Lineage: Eukaryota; Metazoa; Chordata; Mammalia; Primates; Hominidae
Gene: MIR663AHG
Product: MIR663A host gene
Source: Ensembl